AUCACUUCUUGGCUGCGUGACCAAAGGUUAUGUGUAAUAUCUUUCCUUCACAGUGUAAUCUCUGCAACAGCCUCUAAACUGAAACCAGCCAAAAUUACCUGAUUUUUUCACUAACAUACGAGUGAGGUGAGCUUGCUCAGUCUCUUUUACAGGUCGGCUGAAUAUAGCAUUACCUCGCGGAGUGUCCCGUUUUUC
This 195-nucleotide small nuclear RNA is filed under the name Trichobilharzia regenti. Its description in RNAcentral is "U2 spliceosomal RNA". It matches the Rfam family "U2 spliceosomal RNA". Rfam says of the family: U2 is a small nuclear RNA (snRNA) component of the spliceosome (involved in pre-mRNA splicing). Lineage: Eukaryota; Metazoa; Platyhelminthes; Trematoda; Strigeidida; Schistosomatidae. The record is from Rfam by way of RNAcentral.